Molecule: long non-coding RNA, 1848 nt
Organism: Carassius auratus (goldfish)
Lineage: Eukaryota; Metazoa; Chordata; Actinopteri; Cypriniformes; Cyprinidae
Source: Ensembl
AAUUAUAACGACUUCAAAUACUCUUUCAUUGUUUAUUAAUUUGGUAAGAUCUAACCAAGACCUUUGUGUUUCUUCUCUUUUGUCACACAGAUAUACAGGCUUAAAUACGUACGCUCACAAUUUCACAGUCUCUCUUAGUUCUAUAUUUGCCACCCCAAAAGUUCAAGGCAUAAUUUCUAAGCUGUUGACAGAUCGCACCAUUUACAGUCUCAGUCUUAAGUCACUAGGUAAAACACUGCAACCACACCAAUAUUUUUGAUCACUUGUUUGAUCUAUCUAGCCAUUCCUACCCAUCUUUUAAUUAACAGUACUUUAAAAGUAUUUUAUUUUCAUUUGUAGGCAUGGUAUACAUGGAGGCACCUACAGGAAAAGUGUGUUACAAUUCAAGACAACAGCUGAACUGUACCAGUAUAGAGCCUAUGAACAAGUGUGUGUGGCAGAUGUCCAGAGAUUAUGAAGCAACAUUGACUCUAGGACCAGGGAGUGAAGUACAGCUGUCAGAUACUUGUACAGAUCUCUCUACAGUCACACUUCUAAAGACAAAUGGAUACUGGUCAGGUGUGUUGAAUGCAAUCAUAUGAGUGAAGUGGAAUGCCAUUUAUAAUACUGUGACCUUUUGUUCUCAAUUCUCAUUUUCUUGAUAUGCCAGGAACAUACAUCUGCCUUUUUGUUAGUGGGAACAUAGCUCACAUGGCCAUGGCUCCUAUUCAGAUUGCACUUCUGCCAGAGGUCAUUAAUGUGACAAGCAAUCCACAAACUGCAGAUUGUUCUGCAUCAUCAUCCACCACAGUUAGCCUCUUAUGUUCCAUCGAAAACAGCACUGAAACCUACAAAGCCACGCUAAAACUCGGAGCUACUGAAAUUGUACCUCCUAAAGACGAGAACAAUGGAAUAAUCAAGUAUAAAGCAGAUUUCCCUGUUGAUUGUCUGGCACCAGGCAAACCAAGUUCACUUGAGGCCAGCUGCACUAUAGAGAACUCUUUGAAUCAGCUGCGAAAUCGCACAAUAAGAGUACCAAUCAUUUACCGUAAGUACUGAAAAUCAUGCUCUACUAAUGCAAAAGACUGUCAUUGUACAUAAGCCCUGGGUGACUGGUUAAGUGAAAAAAGAAUGUUUGGAUGAUUAAUUUGUUUGUUUGUUUGCUUGUUUUUAUAGCCAGUGACCUGUUUUGUGCAGCGCAAGAAAUUGAUGGGAGAAAAUGGCCAAAAACAAAGAAUAAUGAAACAGCCAUUAUAGAUUGUACUGCAUCAGGGAGACAGGGCUUAAUGAAACGCAAAUGCAACGGGAAAACAUGGGGGGAAGAAAUCUCUCUCUGUGUUAAAGCAGUCCUGAAUAAUGUAGCUUUGACAGCACAGGUGACUGACGCUGAGUGUCUUAAAAACUUGAAGACCUAACUAUUGGUAUCUGAACUGUGCCUUUAAUGUGGAAAUGUCUCAUUUUUAUCUCUCCCAAGGAUUUUGAAAAAGGACUUGGAGCAACACAAGAUGGUGCUCGGUUUAUCUUUCAGAGCUUGAAAAAUAACACAUCUGAAGAUAAUGACAACAGUUUUGGUGACAUUAAGACUGCUGUUUCUGUUUUCAAAACUAUGAACAAAGCAUCAUCGAACAUGGCACUUGGCGAGGACCUUCUUGAAGUAAACAUAUUAACCAUUUCACAUACUAUAUAUAUAUAUAUAUAUAUAUAUAUAUAUAUAUAUAUAUAUAUAUAUAUAUAUGUAUAUGCACACAAUAUAUAAUAUAAUAUAAUUUCACUAUGUACCUCAGGCUCUAACAUUGUCAAAAUGGCCAUAUGCUUUAGCAUAUUUGCACUAAUCAGUUACAGGAAAAAAAUCUGUUCUCUUAUAGGAUU